This 650-nucleotide ribosomal RNA is filed under the name uncultured bacterium. Its description in RNAcentral is "bacterial SSU rRNA". It matches the Rfam family "Bacterial small subunit ribosomal RNA", at positions 8 to 655 of the family's 1533-position model. The record is from RNAcentral.
AGAGUUUGAUCCUGGCUCAGAUUGAACGCUGGCGGCAUGCCUUACACAUGCAAGUCGAACGGCAGCGCGGGGCAACCUGGCGGCGAGUGGCGAACGGGUGAGUAAUAUAUCGGAACGUACCCUGGAGUGGGGGAUAACGUAGCGAGAGUUACGCUAAUACCGCAUACGAUCUAAGGAUGAAAGUGGGGGAUCGCAAGACCUCAUGCUCCUGGAGCGGCCGAUAUCUGAUUAGCUAGUUGGUAGGGUAAAAGCCUACCAAGGCAUCGAUCAGUAGCUGGUCUGAGAGGACGACCAGCCACACUGGAACUGAGACACGGUCCAGACUCCUACGGGGGGCAGCAGUGGGGAAUUUUGGACAAUGGGCGCAAGCCUGAUCCAGCAAUGCCACGUGAGUGAAGAAGGCCUUCGGGUUGUAAAGCUCUUUUGUCAGGGAAGAAACGGUGGCCUCUAAUAUAGGUUGCUAAUGACGGUACCUGAAGAAUAAGCACCGGCUAACUACGUGCCAGCAGCCGCGGUAAUACGUAGGGUGCAAGCGUUAAUCGGAAUUACUGGGCGUAAAGCGUGCGCAGGCGGUUUUGUAAGACUGUCGUGAAAUCCCCGGGCUCAACCUGGGAAUGGCGAUGGUGACUGCAAGGCUAGAGUUUGGCAGA